RNAcentral lists this ribosomal RNA (265 nucleotides) under uncultured bacterium. RNAcentral describes it as "partial 16S ribosomal RNA". It matches the Rfam family "Bacterial small subunit ribosomal RNA", at positions 524 to 788 of the family's 1533-position model. The record is from RNAcentral.
UACGUAGGUGUCGAGCGUUGUCCGGAUUUAUUGGGCGUAAAGAGCUCGUAGGUGGUUCGUUACGUCGGAUGUGAAAAUCUGGGGCUCAACCCCAGACCUGCAUUCGAUACGGGCGAACUAGAGUGUGGUAGGGGAGACUGGAAUUCCUGGUGUAGCGGUGGAAUGCGCAGAUAUCAGGAGGAACACCAAUGGCGAAGGCAGGUCUCUGGGCCAUUACUGACACUGAGGAGCGAAAGCGUGGGGAGCGAACAGGAUUAGAAACCCC